Molecule: ribosomal RNA, 164 nt
Filed under: Xylothamia diffusa
Lineage: Eukaryota; Viridiplantae; Streptophyta; Magnoliopsida; Asterales; Asteraceae
Description: 5.8S ribosomal RNA
Rfam family: 5.8S ribosomal RNA
About the family: 5.8S ribosomal RNA (5.8S rRNA) is a component of the large subunit of the eukaryotic ribosome. It is transcribed by RNA polymerase I as part of the 45S precursor that also contains 18S and 28S rRNA.
Source: RNAcentral
CAAACGACUCUCGGCAACGGAUAUCUCGGCUCACGCAUCGAUGAAGAACGUAGCAAAAUGCGAUACUUGGUGUGAAUUGCAGAAUCCCGUGAACCAUCGAGUUUUUGAACGCAAGUUGGGCCCGAAGCCAUUCGGCUGAGGGCACGUCUGCCUGGGCGUCACGC